UGAGGAAGAUAAUGACGGUACUCAACAAGGAAGUGACGGCUAACUACGUGCCAGCAGCCGCGGUAAAACGUAGGUCACAAGCGUUGUCCGGAAUUACUGGGUGUAAAGGGAGCGCAGGCGGGAGAACAAGUUGGAAGUGAAAUCCAUGGGCUCAACCCAUGAACUGCUUUCAAAACUGUUUUUCUUGAGUAGUGCAGAGGUAGGCGGAAUUCCCGGUGUAGCGGUGGAAUGCGUAGAUAUCGGGAGGAACACCAGUGGCGAAGGCGGCCUACUGGGCACCAACUGACGCUGAGGCUCGAAAGUGUGGGUAGCAAACAGGAUUAGAUACCCUGGUAGUCCACACCGUAAACGAUGAUUACUAGGUGUUGGAGGAUUGACCCCUUCAGUGCCGCAGUUAACACAAUAAGUAAUCCACCUGGGGAGUACGACCGCAAGGUUGAAACUCAAAGGAAUUGACGGGGGCCCGCACAAGCAGUGGAGUAUGUGGUUUAAUUCGACGCAACGCGAAGAACCUUACCAAGUCUUGACAUCCCUUGACGAUGCUGGAAACAGCAUUUCUCUUCGGAGCAAGGAGACAGGUGGUGCAUGGUUGUCGUCAGCUCGUGUCGUGAGAUGUUGCGUUAAGUCCCGCAACGAGCGCAACCCUUAUGGUCAGUUACUACGCAAGAGGACUCUGGCCGGACUGC
Molecule: ribosomal RNA, 686 nt
Filed under: Faecalibacterium prausnitzii
Lineage: Bacteria; Bacillati; Bacillota; Clostridia; Eubacteriales; Oscillospiraceae
Description: bacterial SSU rRNA
Rfam family: Bacterial small subunit ribosomal RNA
Source: RNAcentral